CACUCCUGCGGGAGGCAGCAGUGGGGAAUUUUGGACAAUGGGCGAAAGCCUGAUCCAGCAAUGCCGCGUGAGUGAAGAAGGCCUUCGGGUUGUAAAGCUCUUUUGUCAGGGAAGAAACGGUGAGAGCUAAUAUCUCUUGCUAAUGACGGUACCUGAAGAAUAAGCACCGGCUAACUACGUGCCAGCAGCCGCGGUAAUACGUAGGGUGCAAGCGUUAAUCGGAAUUACUGGGCGUAAAGCGUGCGCAGGCGGUUUUGUAAGUCUGAUGUGAAAUCCCCGGGCUCAACCUGGGAAUUGCAUUGGAGACUGCAAGGCUAGAAUCUGGCAGAGGGGGGUAGAAUUCCACGUGUAGCAGUGAAAUGCGUAGAUAUGUGGAGGAACACCGAUGGCGAAGGCAGCCCCCUGGGUCAAGAUUGACGCUCAUGCACGAAAGCGUGGGGAGCAAACAGGAUUAGAAACCCUAGUAGUCCC
Molecule: ribosomal RNA, 471 nt
Filed under: uncultured organism
Description: partial 16S ribosomal RNA
Rfam family: Bacterial small subunit ribosomal RNA
Source: RNAcentral